This 208-nucleotide unclassified non-coding RNA is filed under the name Hevea brasiliensis (rubber tree). Lineage: Eukaryota; Viridiplantae; Streptophyta; Magnoliopsida; Malpighiales; Euphorbiaceae. The record is from RNAcentral.
CGACGCCCGACACCCACACCACCCGCGAUGGCCCCCACAAAGAAGUCCAAGGCCGCCAAGUCCUCAGAGUCCAUCGCUUCCCGCCUCGCCCUCGUGGUCAAGUCGGGCAAGUACUCCCUCGGAUAUAAGUCCGCCCUCAAGCAGAUGCGUUCCGGCAAGGCUAAGCUUGUCCUCAUUGCCGCCAACUGCCCUCCCCUCCGCAAGUCUG